AACGAACGCUGGCGGCAUGCCUAACACAUGCAAGUCGAACGAGUCAUUCGGGCUUGCUGGCGCAUGCGUCCGUAACGCGUUGGAACCUGCCCUUAGGUUUGGCUUAACUCCCCGAAUGAGGUGCUAAUACCGGCUCAUGUAUUCCAUCCAUAGUUUUAUCGCCUUUGGGUGAGCCUGCGAUGUAUUAGUUUGUUGGUAGGCUAAAUCCGUAUAACUGGUUCGAUCCAUAGCUGGUUUGAGAGGAUGAGCAGCGACACUGGUACUGAGACACGGCCGAGAAUACUACGGGAGGCAGCAGUGGGGAAUAUAGGAAAAUGGGGGAAAGCAUGAACGAGCAAGGAUGGGUGAGUGAUGAAGGCCGUAGGGUUGGAAAGCUCGUUUACCCGGGAUGAUAAUGACAGUACCGGGAGAAUAAGCUCCGGCUAACUCCGUG
This 433-nucleotide ribosomal RNA is filed under the name uncultured bacterium. RNAcentral's name for it is "partial 16S ribosomal RNA". It matches the Rfam family "Bacterial small subunit ribosomal RNA", at positions 29 to 507 of the family's 1533-position model. The record is from RNAcentral.